CGGAGUUGUAUAGUGCCACCCCUGUCGACUCCACCGGCAGCGGGAUCCAGGUCCAACUCCAGGAUAUUUGAUUCAGUAAUCAGCUUCAGUUCCAAGUUUCAGUGCUUCAGAAAUAUUGGUUUUGGUAAUCAGCUUGCCGAGAUGGUACCUGGACAUAAUUUACUUGCGUGCUAUAGCGUGUAGAAAAUUGUCUAGUUAAAUUGAUCAGUGUACAAUCUCUCGCUAAUAGCAUAUUUUCAGAGGCCACGCUAUUUUGUAUAGCACGCUAUUCAUUAGAUAUGUCUACUCCUGUAUUUUCAGUUACCUGUGUGACUGAAAAAAUACACUAUAUGUUACUAUGAUAUAUUUCUUAAGUUAUGUAUAGAACCUCUGCCUAUAUACUUGGAUCACCGGAUUGUUAUGCAUCAAAACUACAGAAUUACUACUUACCAUUGUAGUGUCGUGUUCUGUGUAUACCAAUAUCUCUACCACUAUAAUACACCAUUCUUGAAUUUGGAUUCACCACCUACUUGCUUUUUAGUCUGCUCGAGGUCGGCCAUGGUGGUCCGGCCCGACCAAUGGAUGGAUGGGGAUGAAACCCUAGCCCAACACCCACACAUGGAUGGAUGGGAUGGGGCGACGACGACGGCGGCAGCGGCCUUCUCUCGGUGCUUGCUGAUGUGGUGGCCAUCGACACCGGCAACGAGUUGCAGCACGUAGACAUCAAAGGCUGCGGGUGUGACGGAGGAGCACCAUGGCGGGCGUGCAGGCCAUGGCUCUCUAUGUAAGG
Molecule: long non-coding RNA, 769 nt
Organism: Triticum dicoccoides
Lineage: Eukaryota; Viridiplantae; Streptophyta; Magnoliopsida; Poales; Poaceae
Exons: 3
Source: RefSeq, a predicted model, not a curated record